AACCUAGCACACCUGCGGUGUGUACCUGCGGAGGGAUCAUUACAGAGUUGCAAAACUCCCCAAACCAUUGUGAACCUUACCUUCAAACGUUGCUUCGGCGGGCGGGCCACAGCGCCCCCCGGGCCCCCCCAGCGGGGGCGCCCGCCGGAGGAUACCCAAACUCUUGAUACUUUAUGGCCUCUCUGAGUCUUCUGUACUGAAUAAGUCAAAACUUUUAGCAACGGAUCUCAGAUCGGAAGA
This 240-nucleotide unclassified non-coding RNA is filed under the name soil metagenome. Its description in RNAcentral is "partial contains 5.8S ribosomal RNA, internal transcribed spacer 2, and large subunit ribosomal RNA". The record is from RNAcentral.